ACCUACAGGUAUUUCAGAGCUAUU
RNAcentral lists this small nuclear RNA (24 nucleotides) under Arabidopsis thaliana (thale cress). RNAcentral's name for it is "snRNA_10123". Lineage: Eukaryota; Viridiplantae; Streptophyta; Magnoliopsida; Brassicales; Brassicaceae. The record is from RNAcentral.